Haliotis rubra (blacklip abalone) is the source of this 984-nucleotide long non-coding RNA. RefSeq lists it as uncharacterized. Lineage: Eukaryota; Metazoa; Mollusca; Gastropoda; Lepetellida; Haliotidae. The record is from RefSeq and is a predicted model, not a curated record. The transcript has 2 exons.
AUGAAAUAGCUCUAUCAGAAUGAAGACGAAGAAAUACGCUGAGUCCAAACUUCUUUAUUGACUAAACAAUACAUGAUAAACAAAUAUACUCAGACAGCAAUGAUCGGAUAUUCCGGCUCAAACAUUGGUGAGAUCCAGCUCAACCUCAGGAUGUUUCCAGCGGCAUAUCCCGUUCGUGGUCGUCCUGUCACAGCAGUCAGAAUACCGGAUGUAAACAUCUAUAGUAAAAAAAUAACAAUGGCAAGAUGAAGUGACACCAAUGGCCAGAUUGAAAGACAGUGGCAUUGCCUUGGACUUAUUGCUGUGAUGACCAACACCACCAAGGGGAUGACAAGUAUGGUUAUAAAUGUCAUAAUAUAAAUAACAGCAAUUAAUGAAAUGGCAGAGAGGCACAGAUUGGAUAACAAGUCAAUAUACAAUGAAAUGGUGGUGAGAAUUAAGAAUGCAGGUAAGCGUCAAGUAAAUAACUGCAGUCAACUUAAACACAUCUUGUAACCUUUGGCAUUAAAUGUGUCCUAAAUCAGUCUCUGUGACACAUCUAACUUAUCGGGGUGUCCGACACAUUAAACUUUAGUAUCAGACAGAUGUUUGCAUCUACGAGGGAGAAUUAUCAUACAACAAAAUGCAACAUAACAUAACAUAACAUAAUCCUCAGCUUUUUUAUUGACAUCAACAAUCAGAGAAAUGAUCUCCACAGUAAUAUAGGUCUCCUAAAACAUUGCAACCACACUCUGUCGUACCUGUUAUACAUGUAGAAUACUUACUAAACCAGUACACUGUAUUCUUAUUCUUACUCACCUACAUGUCAAAACAGUCCUCACAUACUCCCAAGUCUCAAUGGCUUAGGACAACAAAGGUUUUAGGCCCAAACCGAGUGCAGAGAACAUACCAUGGAUAAAGCAAGCGUAAAUUACUAAUAAAACCAACUGACAUCACACUAUAAUGCGUUUUGCUGUAAUACUUAGAGACGUAAGCACCUCAAGA